AAAGCUGCCAGCCACACUUUGCCAGUUCCCACAUUACUUAAGCCAACCCAAUACCAGAAGGCAGUUCAGAAAGCCAGCUAUAUUAAUAAAAUGUAAUCGCAAUGAACUGAAUAUUUUGGUCAACCAAUAAAAAGCGGAAAAUCACACCUUUUAAAUUUACUGACAUAAGCCGAGGACACAAAGCUCUAGAAGAAGAAAGGCGACGGCGACGACGACGGCGACGGCGACGGCGAAAAAGCGGAAGACUGGAAGAGCGGAAAAGCGGAAAAACGGAAGAGCGGAAAAACGAGAGGAAGUGGCGAGGAGCGCGAGAGCGAAGUGAACUUUCCGCUGAAUUGCAAAAAUAUGCAAAGAAAUCAAGUAUCUUCCAGCUGAAUGGAGACUCCACUCUGCUCGACUUCACUCAAAUGGGCAAUUUAAUUAUACGGAAAUCACACAGAAUUCAUCUAAUUAGUUUGGCGUUUUAAUUGCCCGGGGGAGACCGCUGGAGGACACUUGUCUCCACUCCACUAGCUGCCAUAAAUAAUGUCAUCUCGGUCUGGAGCCGGAGAGCCGGAACUGAAACUGAAACAGAAACUGAAACAGGAGCCAAAGGACACGAAGGAGUCUGACUCCUCCUGCCGCCGCUUCAAUUGUAUCUGUGCCUUGGAAAUAUUUCAAUAAUAAUUCCUUCCAUUUGUGAUAUUAAAAAAUAUACCCGCGCUGGCAUUUGUAGCCGUAUUUGCGUAUUUCCCUA
Molecule: long non-coding RNA, 736 nt
Organism: Drosophila yakuba
Lineage: Eukaryota; Metazoa; Arthropoda; Insecta; Diptera; Drosophilidae
Exons: 3
Source: RefSeq, a predicted model, not a curated record